This 379-nucleotide unclassified non-coding RNA is filed under the name uncultured Paenibacillaceae bacterium. RNAcentral describes it as "contains 16S-23S intergenic spacer region". The record is from RNAcentral. Lineage: Bacteria; Bacillati; Bacillota; Bacilli; Caryophanales; Paenibacillaceae.
UCCGGUUUGUCACCGGCAGUCACUCUAGAGUGCCCAGCACUACCUGCUGGCAACUAAAGUCAAGGGUUGCGCUCGUUGCGGGACUUAACCCAACAUCUCACGACACGAGCUGACGACAACCAUGCACCACCUGUCUUGGGUGCUCCGAAGAGGGACACUAUCUCUAAUGUUUUCACCCAGAUGUCAAGACCUGGUAAGGUUCUUCGCGUUGCUUCGAAUUAAACCACAUACUCCACUGCUUGUGCGGGUCCCCGUCAAUUCCUUUGAGUUUCAGUCUUGCGACCGUACUCCCCAGGCGGAGUGCUUACUGUGUUAACUUCGGCACCAAGGGUAUCGAAACCCCUAACACCUAGCACUCAUCGUUUACGGCGUGGACUAC